CGGCGAUUCAAAUUUCAAUAGCCAAUUAAAACAUCAAAAAAUUGUUUUCAAAAAAAAAAAUCGAUUUCCAAAAUCACUUCCACUAUAGUUGCGAGUUACCGGGCGCGCGAAGCUAUGAGCUCUUUUAAGCACCUAGGGAGGCUCAUUAGCGGCCUCUCUUUAGUUGCUAAGGAGAUUGCUAGACGCUCUCAGACUCUUGAACGGCCAGCAGGUGAUAAUUUCCAAACCCUAAUCACCUACGCAGCCAAGAAAGCCCUAGUCUCCGUCACCGAUGUAUCGGGCCUUACCAAAGGGAAAGUCCGCGAGUUUUCGCCUCCUAAGCCUAAAGAAUCCGUCGUUUACUUCGAUCAUUCGGCUGAUUUGGCGGAGCCCCGCCCAGUCCAGCCGCACUCCGUUGCUGAUACUGGAAAUAGCAAUGUUGUUGCUGGAGAAGUUGUUGACGAGAACGUUUCUGAGGACAAUCAGGUUUCGAGGAAUGAACUUGGUGAUUUGGAGAAAGAUGGUUUCCAGACUCGGAAUCGGGAGGAUAAACGAAAUGCGGGUAGCGGAGAGGUUGCGCCGGCAGUGGCGACGGAAUUGAAGAGGAGGAAGCCGAGGGAGAGGAAAGUUCCUUCGACUCCGUUUUCUAGGGCGCUUGGGUUUGCUGGGCUAGGAGCUGGGCUUGCAUGGGGAACAAUUCAGGAAUCUACCAAGAGGCUUGUCUUUGGUACUCCAAGUUCACAAGACAAGCAAUCGGCUCUUUCCCCAUUUUUAUCUGAAAAAAAUGCAGAACGUUUUGCCCUCGCCUUAUGCAGAAUGCGUGGAGCUGCACUCAAAUUAGGACAGAUGCUGAGUAUACAGGAUGAAUCUCUUGUUCCUGCUCCGAUCUUGGCUGCUUUAGACAUUGUCCGUCAAGGUGCAGAUGUGAUGCCAAGGAGCCAGCUUGAUAGAGUUUUGGAUAGUGAAUUGGGUUCUGACUGGUCAACAAAUUUAUCUAGUUUUGAUUAUGAGCCAAUUGCUGCUGCAAGUAUAGGGCAGGUGCACCGAGCAGUUACAAAGGAUGGUAUGCAGGUUGCAAUGAAAAUUCAGUACCCUGGCGUUGCCAAUAGCAUUGAUAGUGACAUUGAGAAUGUGAAACUUCUCUUAGAUUAUACAAACCUAAUUCCAAAAGGCCUUUAUCUCGAAAGAGCUAUGAAGGUAGCAAAAGAGGAAUUGUCCCGUGAAUGUGACUAUGAGUUGGAGGCAACCAACCAGAAAAGGUUCCGUAUGCUACUAUCUGAUACUAAGGGGUUUUAUGUUCCAAUGGUUAUAGAUGAACUUUCCUGCAAGAGAGUCUUAACUACUGAACUUAUCUCUGGAAUUCCAAUUGAUAAGGUGGCAUUACUAAACCAAGAAACUCGUAAUUAUGUUGGGACAAAGUUGUUAGAACUUACAUUGAUGGAGUUAUUUGUCUUCCGAUUCAUGCAGACUGAUCCUAAUUGGAGUAAUUUCCUGUAUGAUGAGGCCACAAAAACUGUUAAUCUCAUCGACUUUGGAGCAGCGCGGGAUUAUCGUAAAAGAUUUGUUGAUGACUAUUUAAGAAUGGUCGUAGCAUGUGCAAAUAGUGAGAGGGAUGCAGUGAUUGAGAUGUCAAGAAGACUUGGGUUCCUUACUGGAAUGGAGUCAGAGAUAAUGUUAGACGCUCAUGUUCAAGCUGGUUUGAUUGUGGGAUUGCCAUUCUCUAAGCCAAGCGGAUUUGAUUUCCGAUCCACCAACAUUACCCAAAGUGUUACAAAUCUUGGUGCUACAAUGCUUAAGCACAGGCUCACACCACCACCGGAAGAGUCUUACAGCCUUCAUAGAAAGCUUUCAGGUGCUUUUUUGGCUUCCAUCAAGCUUGGUGCCACUGUACCAUGUAGAGAGCUAUUGCUUGAAGUCUAUGAGAAUUAUCAGUUUGGUGAAGAUGAAGGUGAGAUGUUAUCAAGCAGCUCUCUUUCUUGAUAGGUUCCUUAUAUCUGUUCUUUUGGGAUAUAUAUAUUUUUUUGAUGUAUUCAAUAAAAUGAGGGAUGAAAUUGUUCAUCCAAGCAAUGUAGGCAAGUCUUUUUUUUGCCUUAAGCGGAAUGAUGGGUGUAGGUUUUAGCUCCUCAGAAUGAGAGAUAUAUUAGUUUGCUCCACGAAGACAGAAUUGAGCUAGAAUCACCCAUCUGCAUGUAUAAACCUUCAUUUUUUGUCAACAGUCAAGAUAAACAUACAUCUGCAAUUUUCUUACUACAAUGGGAAUUCUGAUUUUGUUUAAUCCGAGAAUACUUCUCAG
RNAcentral lists this unclassified non-coding RNA (2272 nucleotides) under Hevea brasiliensis (rubber tree). The record is from RNAcentral. Lineage: Eukaryota; Viridiplantae; Streptophyta; Magnoliopsida; Malpighiales; Euphorbiaceae.